Ricinus communis (castor bean) is the source of this 109-nucleotide small nucleolar RNA. NCBI's taxonomy places the organism in Eukaryota, Viridiplantae, Streptophyta, Magnoliopsida, Malpighiales, Euphorbiaceae. The record is from RefSeq and is a predicted model, not a curated record.
AUACGUAGUCGUGGAAAGUGGCACGGAGCAAAUCUUUAUACCUCUCCCAAGCAUCGUACAUGCUCUCGUCAUCGAACUGCAUAAAAGAAGAUAUAUUAUUUCUCAAUUU